This 504-nucleotide ribosomal RNA is filed under the name uncultured bacterium. RNAcentral describes it as "partial 16S ribosomal RNA". It matches the Rfam family "Bacterial small subunit ribosomal RNA", at positions 30 to 523 of the family's 1533-position model. The record is from RNAcentral.
AUUGAACGCUGGCGGCAUGCCUUACACAUGCAAGUCGAACGGCAGCAUGGAGAGCUUGCUCUCUGAUGGCGAGUGGCGAACGGGUGAGUAAUGCAUCGGAACGUACCGUGUAAUGGGGGAUAACGUAGCGAAAGUUACGCUAAUACCGCAUACGACCUGAGGGUGAAAGCAGGGGAUCGCAAGACCUUGCGUUAUACGAGCGGCCGAUGUCAUAUUAGCUAGUUGGUGAGGUAAAGGCUCACCAAGGCGACGAUCCGUAGCGGGUCUGAGAGGAUGAUCGGCCACACUGGGACUGAGACACGGCCCAGACUCCUACGGGAGGCAGCAGUGGGGAAUUUUGGACAAUGGGGGCAACCCUGAUCCAGCCAUGCCGCGCGAGUGAAGAAGGCCUUCGGGUUGUAAAGCUCUUUCGGCCGGGAAGAAAUCGCACAGGCUAAUACUCUGUGUGGAUGACGGUACCGGCAUAAGAAGCACCGGCUAACUACGUGCCAGCCGCCGCGGUAA